GUGCUCGCUUCGGCAGCACAUAUACUAAAAUUGGAACGAUACAGAGAAGAUUAGCAUGGCCCCUGCACAAGAAUGACAUGCAAAUUCGUGAAGCAUUUCAUAUUUUU
Molecule: small nuclear RNA, 107 nt
Filed under: Bison bison bison
Lineage: Eukaryota; Metazoa; Chordata; Mammalia; Artiodactyla; Bovidae
Source: RNAcentral